RNAcentral lists this ribosomal RNA (595 nucleotides) under uncultured Bacteroidota bacterium. Its description in RNAcentral is "bacterial SSU rRNA". It matches the Rfam family "Bacterial small subunit ribosomal RNA", at positions 122 to 715 of the family's 1533-position model. The record is from RNAcentral. Lineage: Bacteria; Pseudomonadati; Bacteroidota.
CAACCUACCUAUCAGAGGGGAAUAACCCGGCGAAAGUCGGACUAAUACCGCAUAAAACAGGGGCACCGCAUGGUGAUAUUUGUUAAAGAAAUUCGCUGAUAGAUGGGCAUGCGUUCCAUUAGGUAGUUGGUGAGGUAACGGCUCACCAAGCCGACGAUGGAUAGGGGAACUGAGAGGUCGGUCCCCCACACUGGUACUGAGACACGGACCAGACUCCUACGGGAGGCAGCAGUGAGGAAUAUUGGUCAAUGGGCGAGAGCCUGAACCAGCCAAGUCGCGUGAAGGAAGAAGGAUCUAUGGUUCGUAAACUUCUUUUGCAGGGGAAUAAAGUGCGGGACGUGUCCUGUUUUGUAUGUACCCUGAGAAUAAGGAUCGGCUAACUCCGUGCCAGCAGCCGCGGUAAUACGGAGGAUCCGAGCGUUAUCCGGAUUUAUUGGGUUUAAAGGGUGCGUAGGUGGUUUGAUAAGUCAGCGGUGAAAGUUUGCAGCUUAACUGUAAAAAUGCCGUUGAAACUGUCGGACUUGAGUGUAAAUGAGGUAGGCGGAAUGCGUGGUGUAGCGGCGAAAUGCAUAGAUAUCACGAAGAACUCCGAUUG